UACGGAGGGGACUAGCGUUGUUCGGAAUUACUGGGCGUAAAGCGCACGUAGGCGGAUUUGUAAGUCAGGGGUGAAAUCCCCGGGCUCAACCUGGGAACUGCAUCUGUGACUGCAUCGCUGGAGUGCGGCAGAGGGGGAUGGAAUUCCGCGUGUAGCAGUGAAAUGCGUAGAUAUGCGGAGGAACACCGAUGGCGAAGGCAAUCCCCUGGGCCUGCACUGACGCUCAUGCACGAAAGCGUGGGGAGCAAACAGG
Molecule: ribosomal RNA, 253 nt
Filed under: uncultured bacterium
Lineage: Bacteria
Description: partial 16S ribosomal RNA
Rfam family: Bacterial small subunit ribosomal RNA
Source: RNAcentral